This 253-nucleotide ribosomal RNA is filed under the name uncultured bacterium. RNAcentral's name for it is "partial 16S ribosomal RNA". It matches the Rfam family "Bacterial small subunit ribosomal RNA", at positions 524 to 776 of the family's 1533-position model. The record is from RNAcentral.
UACGGAGGGUGCAAGCGUUGUUCGGAAUUAUUGGGCGUAAAGCGGGUGUAGGCGGCCUCGCAAGUCAGAUGUGAAAUCCCUGGGCCCAACCCAGGAACUGCAUUUGAUACUGCAUGGCUAGAGUCCCGGAGAGGGUGGCGGAAUUCCAGGUGUAGAGGUGAAAUUCGUAGAUAUCUGGAGGAACACCAGUGGCGAAGGCGGCCACCUGGACGGUGACUGACGCUCAGACCCGAAAGCGUGGGGAGCAAACAGG